Molecule: ribosomal RNA, 815 nt
Filed under: uncultured bacterium
Lineage: Bacteria
Description: bacterial SSU rRNA
Rfam family: Bacterial small subunit ribosomal RNA
Source: RNAcentral
AGAGUUUGAUCAUGGCUCAGAACGAACGCUGGCGGCGUGGAUAAGACAUGCAAGUCGAACGCUGAUUGUCGGGUAGCAAUAUUCGGCAGUCGGAGUGGCGCAAGGGUGCGUAACACGUGGGUAAUCUGCCAUGAAGUUUGGGAUAACUCGCUGAAAGGCGAGCUAAUACCGGAUGUGAAAAUUGGAAGGCAUCUUUUGAUUUUCAAAGCUGGGGACCGUAAGGCCUGGCGCUUCAUGAUGAACCCGCGGCCUAUCAGCUAGUUGGUGAGGUAACGGCCCACCAAGGCUAAGACGGGUAGCUGGUCUGAGAGGACGACCAGCCACACUGGAACUGAGACACGGUCCAGACACCUACGGGUGGCAGCAGUCGAGAAUUUUUCACAAUGGGCGCAAGCCUGAUGGAGCGACGCCGCGUGGGGGAUGAAUGGCUUCGGCCCGUAAACCCCUGUCAUUCGCGAUCAAACCUCGCUAUUUAAAAGAUGGCGAGCUGAUAGUAGCGGAAGAGGAAGGGACGGCUAACUCUGUGCCAGCAGCCGCGGUAAUACAGAGGUCCCGAGCGUUGUUCGGAUUCACUGGGCGUAAAGGGUGCGUAGGUGGUGAGGUAAGUCGGAUGUGAAAGCUCGGAGCUCAACUCCGAAAUGGCAUUGGAAACUACCUUGCUCGAGGGUUGGAGGGGGGACUGGAAUUCUCGGUGUAGCAGUGAAAUGCGUAGAUAUCGAGAGGAACACCAGUGGCGAAGGCGAGUCCCUGGACAACUCCUGACACUGAGGCACGAAAGCUAGGGGAGCAAACAGGAUUAGAUACCCUAGUAGUCC